Molecule: ribosomal RNA, 1223 nt
Filed under: metagenome
Description: bacterial SSU rRNA
Rfam family: Bacterial small subunit ribosomal RNA
Source: RNAcentral
AUAGCCGGCCUGAGAGGGUGACCGGCCACAUUGGGACUGAGACACGGCCCAAACUCCUACGGGAGGCAGCAGCUAAGAAUCUUCCGCAAUGGGCGCAAGCCUGACGGAGCGACGCCGCGUGGACGAAGAAUGCCGAGAGGUUGUAAAGUCCUUUUAUAAGUGAAGAAUAAUGUCUGUAGGUAAUGACAGGCAGAUGACGUUAGCUUAUGAAUAAGCUCCGGCCAAUUACGUGCCAGCAGCCGCGGUAACACGUAAGGAGCGAGCGUUGUUCGGAAUUAUUGGGCGUAAAGGGCAUGUAGGCGGUUACAUAAGUCUGGUGUGAAAUACUACAGCUUAACUGUAGAAACGCACUGGAAACUGUGUGACUUGAAUCUGUGAGGGGUAACUGGAAUUCCUAGUGUAGGGGUGAAAUCUGUUGAUAUUAGGAAGAACACCGAUGGCGAAGGCAAGUUACUGGCACAUGAUUGACGCUGAGAUGCGAAAGCGUAGGGAGCGAACAGGAUUAGAUACCCUGGUAGUCUACGCUGUAAACGAUGUGCACUUGGUGUCGGGGUUUCUAAGCCUCGGUGCCGUAGCUAACGCGUUAAGUGCACCGCCUGGGGAGUAUGCCGGCAACGGUGAAACUCAAAGGAAUUGACGGGGGCCCGCACAAGCGGUGGAGCAUGUGGUUUAAUUCGAUGAUACGCGAGAAACCUUACCAGGGUUUGACAUAUUUAUGAUCGACGUAGAGAUACGUAACUCCCUUCGGGGACAUUUAUACAGGUGCUGCAUGGUUGUCGUCAGCUCGUGCCGUGAGGUGUUGGGUUAAGUCCCGCAACGAGCGCAACCCCUAUUGUCUGUUACCAUCAUUAAGUUGGGGACUCAGGCAAGACUGCCGGUGACAAACCGGAGGAAGGUGGGGACGACGUCAAAUCAUCAUGGCCCUUAUAUCCUGGGCUACACACGUGCUACAAUGGCCAGUACAGAGUGAAGCGAAGCCGCGAGGUGGAGCAAAACGCAGAAAGCUGGUCUCAGUUCGGAUUGGAGUCUGAAACUCGACUCCAUGAAGGUGGAAUCGCUAGUAAUCGCGCAUCAGCAUGGCGCGGUGAAUACGUUCCCGGGCCUUGUACACGCCGCCCGUCACACCACCCGAGUUGGGGGUACCCGAAGUCGCUAGUCUAACCAGCAAUGGAGGACGGCGCCGAAGGUAUGCCUGGUAAGGGGGGUGAAGUCGUAACAAGGUA